GGUAUCAAAGCAAAACUAAGAAUAUUUUAGAAUUUUUAAUUUCAGAAUUUCUUUCAAAACCCUAGAAUAUUCUCACAAUCCAGCUAAAUGGAGUCCUAACCUCAUUGGAGGCCUGCCGCCCUGUUCCGGUGAGCGUCUCCAGCCUACCCAAUCUCUCUCUGCUCCGGCUGCACUCAGCUGUUCACGCUGCUUCCUCGCGCACAGCCUCUGGUUUGCAGUAUUUUCUUCUCUGGCUCCCUUGCACGCAGCAAUUGGUUUGCAUACGAUCUCUGAUUUGACCUCUGCCUCUUCGCACAGUUUUUGAUCCGCGAUUUCCAUUGUUUCUGCUUUCCAGCUUCCUGGUGCAUCUGCGUCUGCGUCUGACCAGAAGAUACUGGUUCCAGAGGCAUCCUAGUUGCGAAUCAACUUGCUUCGGUUCUGCCUUCGAUCAGAUUGGAGAGAACAGAAGGUCUGAUUCUUUUUUUUCCAGUUUUGCAAAUUGGAUCCAAAUCUGCACAGCCACUGAUGUGCAACACGGCGGAAGAACGUCAGUGCAGCGGAAAGUCAGUUUUGUCUGAAGAAGGAGGCGCCCGAGCUGUUUUUGAGCUGAUUUUGAGCCGUUUUGAGCCGAAUUGAGUGUUGCUGCCUUGCCAGACAGAUCUACUUCUUCCGCACGCUAGCUGCUACGACCAACCUUCUUUGGUCCUUUUUUGGCUCCUUUGCGUGCGACCACCUCUGAUUUCACGACCAGGCCUUCUUCGUGCGCGAGCCGCUUUGACAAGCAUUUUCUGGUCGUUUUUCCGGUUCUUCUACGCACGUCCACCUCUAAUUUCGCGAUCCGGUGCAAAUCCCCUUCUUUUACAUGCAAGCUGCUCUGACUAGCAUUUUCUGAUCUUUUUUCGGCUCUUCCGCGCGUGUACACCUCGGGUUUGCAACUUGAUAUGCAAGUUGGGCAUGUGUGAUAUCUCUGCACCAACUUGAGGGGGGUGUUGAAUACCAUAUUGUAGAAAUAUUGUAAAACCAGUCUCUCCCCAUCUUUUUACCAUUUUACCCUUUCUUUUGUUAUUCUCCUUUAUCGUCUCAUGUGCAAGUGUCGUGUAUGGCAGCUGGGGAUGCC
RNAcentral lists this long non-coding RNA (1096 nucleotides) under Carica papaya (papaya). RNAcentral describes it as "long non-coding RNA (CPAP_LNC012192)". The record is from RNAcentral. Lineage: Eukaryota; Viridiplantae; Streptophyta; Magnoliopsida; Brassicales; Caricaceae.